UGGGUGGGGAAGAUGCAGCAGGCCCUCAGGUUCCAAGUCCCACCCAUUCAUUGGCCAACAAAGCCAUCCUGUCAGCUCAUGGAGAAGCCACAGACUGUCCCCUGGGUCACAGGCAGUGCCACAAGGACCUUCCUGACACAAUGUCUUCAGAGACAGUGAGGGCAGGGCCCAUUCCCAGGAGGGAGAUUACUGAGCAAAAGCAAACGAGCCUUUUUCAAGCUACAGAUUCUGAAGCUGCCCUCCAGACACAUCCCUUCAGUCUCCCAGGGUCUCCGCCAACCCAGUCACCUUUGGCUCUGAGGACAUUCUGCAGUGAAAUAGCCAUUUCUUUGAUUUCUCGUAA
Suricata suricatta (meerkat) is the source of this 343-nucleotide long non-coding RNA. RefSeq lists it as uncharacterized. The record is from RefSeq and is a predicted model, not a curated record. NCBI's taxonomy places the organism in Eukaryota, Metazoa, Chordata, Mammalia, Carnivora, Herpestidae. The transcript has 2 exons.